Molecule: ribosomal RNA, 107 nt
Filed under: Thermomonospora sp. CIF 1
Lineage: Bacteria; Bacillati; Actinomycetota; Actinomycetes; Streptosporangiales; Thermomonosporaceae
Source: RNAcentral
AUGGCGGAGGGGAAACACCCGGUCCCAUUCCGAACCCGGUAGUUAAGCCCUCCAGCGCCGAUGGUACUGCAUGGGAGACUGUGUGGGAGAGUAGGUCACCGCCGGAA